CUCGAGUCGGCCAGUCCGUCCACGCUAUUUAUUGCGGGGGCUGGGGUCGGGGAGAUGGAAGUGCUCGACGGUGUCCUUGCCCUCGAGGAGAGAGGAGGCAGAAGAGACGCACACACGCGGCGGGAAGCGCUCGGUAAACGCGACCGACUGAGGAGAAGGGCGAGAUGAAUGGGAUGAUCCAGGCGGGGCCGGAACAGGGCCCGGAGAGGGGCGCUCUGAGCUCGCUGUGGGCCGGGAACGGGACGUGACUACCGCGCCCGCUGCACUGUGCUCUCCCAAGCGCUCGAUCCCUAACACCGACGGACUGUUGAUGGACGGGGAGCUUCCGCUCUAAGCCGCGACUACAAAAUAUCUCCCGGCCCCUCGGACUGAGUCAGCGGCCGAUUCAGAUCCGACGACGACUCUCCCCUCCUUCAAAGCUUUAUCCAAGGCCCAUCUCCUCCGAGAGGCCUUCCCAGACUACGCCUCGCUCUUCCUCAUCUCCCACUCCCUUCCGCGUCGCCCUGACUGGCUCCCUUUGCUCUCCCCCCGCCUCCUGUCCGUAUCUGUAAUUUUAUUUCUUUGUAUUUUUGUCUGCCUGCCCCGGUCUAGACUGUGAUCGCGUCGUGGGCAGGGAAUGUGACUGUUUAUUGCUGCGCUGUACUCUCCCAAGCGCGGAGUACCGUGCUCUACGCACAGAAAGCGCUCAAUAAAUACGACGUACUGGACGAACGCUUCCCAGGGUCACUGCGGUCGAGUGGCCGGCUCUGUCACCUCGCCCCCGCCCAAGCCAGCUCCACGUCCACCGGGCCGGCGAAGACACCCCGGCCCACUUUCCGGACGCUCCACCUCCGUCUGGCAGUGCCCGGAAAGGGCCUGCGAUGCCCGCCCUUACUCGGGUAUCCCGCGGGGAGCGAGGAGCUCCAUUUCAAAAAGCCAAACGGUAAGAAGAGCGAGAAA
Long non-coding RNA from Ornithorhynchus anatinus (platypus), 939 nucleotides. RefSeq lists it as uncharacterized. The record is from RefSeq and is a predicted model, not a curated record. The transcript has 3 exons. Lineage: Eukaryota; Metazoa; Chordata; Mammalia; Monotremata; Ornithorhynchidae.